UGCCAGACUCCUACGGGAGGCAGCAGUGGGGAAUAUUGCACAAUGGGGGAAACCCUGAUGCAGCGACGCCGCGUGAGCGAUGAAGUAUUUCGGUAUGUAAAGCUCUAUCAGCAGGGAAGAAAAUGACGGUACCUGACUAAGAAGCCCCGGCUAACUACGUGCCAGCAGCCGCGGUAAUACGUAGGGGGCAAGCGUUAUCCGGAUUUACUGGGUGUAAAGGGAGCGUAGACGGUUCUGCAAGCCAGAUGUGAAAGCCCGGGGCUCAACCCCGGGACUGCAUUUGGAACUGUAAGGCUAGAGUGCAGGAGGGGCAGGCGGAAUUCCUGGUGUAGCGGUGAAAUGCGUAGAUAUCAGGAGGAACACCGGUGGCGAAGGCGGCCUACUGGGCACUAACUGACGCUGAGGCUCGAAAGCAUGGGUAGCAAACAGGAUUAGAUACCCUCGUA
RNAcentral lists this ribosomal RNA (446 nucleotides) under uncultured bacterium. RNAcentral's name for it is "bacterial SSU rRNA". It matches the Rfam family "Bacterial small subunit ribosomal RNA", at positions 329 to 792 of the family's 1533-position model. The record is from RNAcentral.